GCCCGUCUUCCGAGCGGCGCUGGCCACCAGGCCACCCUUGGGUGGCGUUGGCAGCGAGGAGUUUCGGGAGCGAUCCCAGCUAGCGCCUACCAGGAAUCUUAGAUGUCUGAUGCUUGUCGGCUGGAUAUUGGAAUUAGAACAACAGAUCGUGAGAACUGUCAAGACCUGGGUAUUGAUUUGGUAGACACAGUGGAAGUUAAGUUGAUGAAGAAUAAGGACAGUGUAGAGUUGGUUGGGAGUCACCAGUGGAUCCAGAAGAGUUGUUGGAGGAAAUAAAAGAGGGCCUGAAGCACUAACAAAGAACAAGUAUCUAAUCUUUUUUUAUUCUUGAUUUCCAAACCUAAAUCUCUUGAGCUCCAAAUCGGAAUUUUCCAUUGGAUGUACCUAACAUCAGAUCUUGAUCUUUCUUGAUUGCAAAGUGAGAUGAUCACAUUGCUAGACUAAGCUUCUCAAGGUCUCUUUAGAUCCUUCAUUGUGCCUUUCAGGUGUUCAGAUUUUGCAAAUCUAAAUGUCAUAAAAACUUUAAAAAGAGGCGCAAUCCUCGCAAAGUUAGGUGGACCAAAGCAUUCCGGAAAGCAGCUGGUAAAGAGCUUACAGUG
This 599-nucleotide small RNA is filed under the name Pongo abelii (Sumatran orangutan). RNAcentral describes it as "processed transcript". Lineage: Eukaryota; Metazoa; Chordata; Mammalia; Primates; Hominidae. The record is from RNAcentral.